Molecule: ribosomal RNA, 250 nt
Filed under: uncultured bacterium
Lineage: Bacteria
Description: partial 16S ribosomal RNA
Rfam family: Bacterial small subunit ribosomal RNA
Source: RNAcentral
GAUGAACGCUGGCGGUAUGGCUAAGGCAUGCAAGUCGAGCGCCCUUCGUUCUUCGGAAUAUAAGGGAGCGGCAAACGGGAGAGUAACACAUUGAUAACCUACCUUUUGGACGGGCACAACCAACGGAAACGAUGGCUAAUACCCGAUGGUGAUGGGGGGACAUAAGUCAUUCCCAUCUAAAUGAAUUUCGCCAAAAGAGGGGUCUAUGUCGUAUCAGCUUGUUGGUGAGGUAAUGGCUCACCAAGGCUAU